UCCUUUAGUCACUUUUAAGUCUUCAUGAGCCAAUGGACAUCAUUUAAGCAUGAAAAAGAGCUGUGGUGGUGUAGUGGUUGGAAUGCAGUAUUGCAGGCUAACUUUGCCCACUGCCAGGAGUUUGAUCCUGAUGGAGGUCAAGAUUGACUCAGCCUUCCAUUCUUCCAAGACCUCCUGCCUACCUGCAUGCUUGAUGAGUGUCAAACCAAUCCAUAGAAAAUUCAUAAUCAUCUACAAUCAUAGCUAAGAAACUGCUUCAUUCAAAAGAGAUUCUAUGAAGUCCAAUAAAAAGUUCAACUGGAA
Pantherophis guttatus is the source of this 303-nucleotide long non-coding RNA. RefSeq lists it as uncharacterized. NCBI's taxonomy places the organism in Eukaryota, Metazoa, Chordata, Lepidosauria, Squamata, Colubridae. The record is from RefSeq and is a predicted model, not a curated record.